Molecule: transfer RNA, 71 nt
Filed under: Neotoma lepida (desert woodrat)
Lineage: Eukaryota; Metazoa; Chordata; Mammalia; Rodentia; Cricetidae
Rfam family: tRNA
About the family: Transfer RNA (tRNA) molecules are approximately 80 nucleotides in length. Their secondary structure includes four short double-helical elements and three loops (D, anti-codon, and T loops). Further hydrogen bonds mediate the characteristic L-shaped molecular structure. tRNAs have two regions of fundamental functional importance: the anti-codon, which is responsible for specific mRNA codon recognition, and the 3' end, to which the tRNAs corresponding amino acid is attached (by aminoacyl-tRNA synthetases). tRNAs cope with the degeneracy of the genetic code in two manners: having more than one tRNA (with a specific anti-codon) for a particular amino acid; and 'wobble' base-pairing, i.e. permitting non-standard base-pairing at the 3rd anti-codon position.
Source: Rfam by way of RNAcentral
GGAGAUGGCUCAGUCAGUAAAGCGCUUGUCUUGAAAGCAUGAGGACCUGAGUUCAAUCCCCAGCACCUCCA